UAGUAAUGAAGAACCAUUUCCAAAGAAUUAAAGUAUAUUCCGCAUUAUUAGUUUUUUUAGUGAUUUGACAUGAAAGAUCUUGACAAUAAAGAAAUUUAGGUUUUCGAGAUCUAAAGUUUCUAAUUUUAUAAAGUUUGAAGUUUCAACAAGUAUUAUCAAAGCCUACUACAUAUUAAACCAUUGGGUUUAAAAGAAGAAUUUUGUGGUUGAAAUUCAUAUAUUGGGUUUUG
Molecule: small RNA, 230 nt
Filed under: Olea europaea subsp. europaea
Lineage: Eukaryota; Viridiplantae; Streptophyta; Magnoliopsida; Lamiales; Oleaceae
Source: RNAcentral